AGUCCUACAGGUGGACGCCCCGGGUCUGCAGUCCCACAGGUGGGCGCCCGGGUCUGCAGCCCCACAGGUGGGCGCCCGGGUCUGCAGCCCCACAGGUGGGCGCCUGGGUCUGCAGUCCCACAGGUGGAUGGGCGCCCCCAGGACACCCAUGCACAGAGGCGCUUGCCCGUGGAAACAGCCGCACCAGCAGCUCUCGGGGCUUCCUCAACCUGGAAAGCUCUUGCUUGGCUGCCCCUUCUUGAGCCCUAAAGGGAAGGUGUUUGGUCGCCUUGAAAAUCUAGAGUGAGUUGGGCGUAGUGGUCCACACCUGUAAUCUAGCACUGUGGGAGGCCGAGGCGGGAGGAUUGCUUGAGCCCAGGAGUUUGAGACCAGCCUGGGCAACAUAGCAAGACCCCAUCUCUACAAAAUAUCAAAAAAUUAGCUGAGCGUGGUGGUGCUCCUGCAGUCCCAGCUACUUGGGAGGCCGAGGCAGGAGGAUUCCUUGGGCCCAGGAGUCUGGGGCUGCAGCAGUGAGCUAUGAUGGCCGUACUGCACCCCAGGCUGGGUGACAGAGCAAGACCCUGUCCCAAAAAAAAAGAAAAAAGAAAAUCCAAGGAGUGGGUUUGAGGCCUCACUUUGGGGCUCGAAUAUUUGUUUUUUGGUUUUUCAUUUGUUUGUUUUAAGACAAAGUCUCGCUCUGUCACUCAGGCCGAAGAGCAUUGGUGCGAUCUUGGCUCACUGCAACCUCUGCCUUCUGAGUCGACCCUAUUCUCCUGCCCCAGCCUCCCCAGUAGCUGGGAUUACUGGCACGCGCCAGCACGCCCGGCUAAUUUUUGUAUUUUUAGUAGAGAUGGGGUUUCACCAUGUUGGCCAGGCUGGUCUUGAACUCCUGAUCUCAGGUGAUCUGCCUGCCUUGGCCUCCCAAAGUGCUGGGAUUACAGGUGUGAGCCACCGUGCUCAGCUGGGGCUCUAGAAUGUUUAAAAACAGUCACCCCCUCGGUACUAUGGACAUUGGGACCAGAUGGUUCUCUGGGGUGGGGCCGUCCUGGGCCCUGCAGGGUACUGAGCAGAGAGCCUCCACC
This 1061-nucleotide long non-coding RNA is filed under the name Homo sapiens (human). RNAcentral describes it as "HSALNT0254627". The record is from RNAcentral. Lineage: Eukaryota; Metazoa; Chordata; Mammalia; Primates; Hominidae.